GAGAAGAACGCAGCGAAAUGCGAUAAGUAGUGUGAAUUGCAGAAUUCAGUGAAUCAUCGAAUCUUUGAACGCACAUUGCGCCCCUUGGUAUCCCGAGGGGCAUGCCUGUUCGAGCGUCAUUUCACCACUCAAGCCUGGCUUGGUGUUGGGCGACGUCCCCUUUGGGGACGCGCCUCGAAACGCUCGGCGGCGUGGCACCGGCUUUAAGCGUAGCAGAAUCUUUCGCUUUGGAAGUCGGGGCCCCGUCUGCCGGAAGACCUACUCGCAAGGUUGACCUCGGAUCAGGCAGGGAUACCCGCUGAACUUAAGCAUAUCAAUAAGCGGAGGA
Molecule: unclassified non-coding RNA, 328 nt
Filed under: soil metagenome
Description: partial contains 5.8S ribosomal RNA, internal transcribed spacer 2, and large subunit ribosomal RNA
Rfam family: 5.8S ribosomal RNA (bases 3-119)
Source: RNAcentral